AAUUGACCCUCGAUGAGAUGAGAUCUAAUUAUUUNCCUCUCACCAGUUCAUGGUGUUAGGUUUACGUGGAAGUAUUGCCCAUUCUCAUUGAAUGCUUCGGCCUUUCCCGUUGAAGUCAUGGGUUGGUACUAGUUCCCUCGGAAACAGAACUUUGAAGGGUGCGCAGCAUGUUGCUGUUGUCUACCCCCUAAGCGUUCGUCGCUUGAUGCGUAAGACGGUUGCGCCCGUCUUGAUCCCCUCAUCAAGUAGAUUGGAUGGGGCUCAUGCGGUGCCGACGUCGCGAAGGAAUGCUACCUGGUUGAUCCUGCC
RNAcentral lists this unclassified non-coding RNA (309 nucleotides) under Elaeoluma nuda. RNAcentral's name for it is "partial contains external transcribed spacer and 18S ribosomal RNA". Lineage: Eukaryota; Viridiplantae; Streptophyta; Magnoliopsida; Ericales; Sapotaceae. The record is from RNAcentral.